Molecule: unclassified non-coding RNA, 341 nt
Filed under: fungal sp.
Lineage: Eukaryota; Fungi
Description: partial internal transcribed spacer region
Rfam family: Eukaryotic small subunit ribosomal RNA (bases 1-46)
Source: RNAcentral
AAGUCGUAACAAGGUCUCCGUAGGUGAACCUGCGGAGGGAUCAUAUUAUGGAUAAUUUUAUGACCAAAGGGGAGGGUUAGGGUGUGUGUGUGUGUGUGUGUGUGUGUGUAUAUAUAUACAUAUACUAUAUACUAUAUACAUAUACAUAUACACACACCCUAAUCCUCCUUUGGAAAUAUAAUUUUAGAUGUGCACUUGUAUUGAAAGUCAGAGAUAUAUAUUUGCUAUAUAUAAUUUAUAGCAAAUAUAAUAUUUUCCAACCUAAACUGUUUAUAACCAAAUCUAGUUUUAAUAUAUAAUUAUAAAAAAAACAACUUUUAACAACGGAUCUCUAGGCUCUU